CGGCCGCGUCGACCGAAGAACCUUACCAGGUCUUGACAUCCCGCUGCCCGGUGUAGAGAUACGCCUUUCCCUUCGGGGACAGCGGUGACAGGUGGUGCAUGGUUGUCGUCAGCUCGUGUCGUGAGAUGUUGGGUUAAGUCCCGCAACGAGCGCAACCCUUGAUCUUAGUUGCCAGCAUUCAGUUGGGCACUCUAAGGUGACUGCCGGUGACAAACCGGAGGAAGGUGGGGAUGACGUCAAAUCAUCAUGCCCCUUAUGACCUGGGCUACACACGUGCUACAAUGGACGGUACAAAGGGCUGCAAACCCGCGAGGGGGAGCCAAUCCCAGAAAACCGUUCUCAGUUCGGAUUGCAGGCUGUAACUCGCCUGCAUGAAGCCGGAAUCGCUAGUAAUCGUGGAUCAGCAUGCCACGGUGAAUACGUUCCCGGGCCUUGUACGUCGACGCGGCCGAGUCGUGGAGG
This 462-nucleotide ribosomal RNA is filed under the name uncultured bacterium. RNAcentral's name for it is "bacterial SSU rRNA". It matches the Rfam family "Bacterial small subunit ribosomal RNA", at positions 952 to 1387 of the family's 1533-position model. The record is from RNAcentral.